CCGCCUUCCCGUCUGGAUCCUUCUUUCAGAGGACAAAAAAGGCUCUGCAGACCUCCUGCCAGCCAGAACUGAAAACCCCAGGAAAACAUGAAGGCAAUGUCUCUUUCCAAGGAUAUGUACAGGGUAUAUAAGAAAGUCCCUAAAACAGU
Molecule: long non-coding RNA, 149 nt
Organism: Lacerta agilis (Sand lizard)
Lineage: Eukaryota; Metazoa; Chordata; Lepidosauria; Squamata; Lacertidae
Exons: 2
Source: RefSeq, a predicted model, not a curated record